RNA transcript from Myotis brandtii (Brandt's bat), 2412 nucleotides. It is a transcript of the gene named ciliary neurotrophic factor, with no coding region annotated. The record is from RefSeq and is a predicted model, not a curated record. The transcript has 5 exons. Lineage: Eukaryota; Metazoa; Chordata; Mammalia; Chiroptera; Vespertilionidae.
AUAAAAUGCACUGAUUAUAUGUGUAUAUAAAAUAGAUUGCAUUAGGUAUCAUGAGGAUUAGUGUGAUAGUGACCUUGUUGCUAAGUGCAAAAGCAAAACAAUGACAUAAAAACAAGUAGGCUAGGCACUCAGUGGAGGAGAGAGAUGGAGGCAGACGCUGCAGGAAAAAAAAGCUUGGUAAAAGGGGCCUUUGAUUCCACAGGCACAAAAAUCCACAGCCAGGAAUUUGCUGCCACCUCUGAGUCAGGCAGGGGGUGGGGGUGGGGAACACCAUUCCUUUAGAGAAUGCCCAGUGGAUUUAGUCUGAGUGUCACAUUUCUUAUUUGGAACAGUGUAGAUAGAAACAAACUCAGCUCACUUGUUUCCUGGGACAGUUGAGUUAGGGGAUGGCUUUCGCAGAGCACUCACCGCUGACCCCUCACCGUCGGGAUCUCUGUAGCCGCUCCAUCUGGCUAGCAAGAAAGAUUCGUUCAGACCUGACCGCUCUUAUGGAAUCUUAUGUGAAGCAUCAGGGCCUGAACGAGGACAUGGACCUGGAUUCCGUGGAUGGUGUGCCAAUGGCAAGCACUGAUCGGUGGAGUGAGCUGCCUGAGGCAGAGCGACUCCUAGAGAACCUCCAAGCUUAUCGUACCUUCCAUGGUAUGUUGAUCAGGCUUUUAGAUGACCAACGGGUGCAUUUUACUCCAGCUAACAGUGACUUCCAUCAAGCAAUACAUACCCUUCUACUCCAAGUUGCUGCCUUUGCUUACCAGCUGGAGGAAUUAAUGGCGCUCCUGGAACUCAAGAUCCCCCCCAGUGAGGCUGAUGAGAUGCCUGAAAUUGUUGGAGAUGGUGGUCUCUUUGAGAAGAAGCUGUGGGGCCUAAAGGUGCUGCAAGAGCUUUCCCAGUGGACAGUGAGGUCCAUCCAUGACCUUCGUGUCAUUUCUUCUCAUCAGACUGGGAUCUCAGCACAUGGAAGCCGCCAAAGCCUCCAAACUCUUCCGUCCUUUCAACAUAUAUGGUGUCAGUAUCAUGGCAUCUGGUGCUGCUGCUGGAUUCCAGCAAGGUACCUUCUUGAGCCUUUGGUACUCUGUCAGCUUCAUGACUGCCCCUGGAUUCCAGUGGUCUUCAGCUGGGUCUCUUAUCACAAAGAAGAAUUAACAAGGGGAAAAGUGUUUAUUAAGCCAUGCAGCGCACAUGAUGUGGGAGAAACCUGCACCAAAAGUCACUCAAGUGGCGGCUGUGAAUUCCAGCUUAUCUAGCAUCUUCCACGGGGCAGAACACAUUUUUGGAGAAAGGACAGGACACAGGGAAGCCGCCUCUGGGAAGACUUAAAUGAAAUUAUCUUGGCAAAGGGCAAAUUCUAAAUACUCAGUAGGUAUGAACCAUUCUUCUUCUUAAUAUUUGAGUCAUGUGACGUUUAGCAAGUCCUAUAAUCUUUCUGAGCUUCAGUUUCCUCAUCCACAGCAUGAGAGCUACAUCUUCUUCUUUGUGAAGAUGAAGUGAGAUGCUAUUGUAAAGGUAUCUGCAUGCAGAGGAAGUCUCUAUGAAUGGUACUGACCACAAGUCUGGAGAAGGCUGAGGAAUGUCACCAGUCUCUACUGUGCCCACACCAGACCAGCAGGGCCAGCCAUCUCAACCAUCGCGACAUUAUUUGGAUUUCAAUUGCCUCAUCCUCUCAGGACUCAGAGUUCGCCCCAAUGCCAUCUCAUCAGUAUCCUGAUAUAUUCCAGUUUGUAGCUAGAGUUGAAACCCCAGGAAGUAAAAUGACUCACUUAGAUCACCCAGGUCAGGAAGGUGGGUUCUUGUCCACACUGUGAGGCACCUAGGUCUAAGUGCCUUCAUAAUUAGCUCACUUGAUAGGGGUACAAGGGUAGAAUAAAAAUAUGAUUUUUAAAUUUCCUUUCUCUUUCCUUUCCCACCCUUUUACUAAGAAUGUGUAAUUGAUUAAUCAACAGUAUAUAUUUAACCUAUGUUCUGGCUAAGAUUUUGUUGCAGUUCUCAGUUGACAGGCAGGAGCAAAAAGAUUUUUAACACAGCCCUGAACUUACACAACUGGCUACCAGGAAUAUGGAGGCUGAUCGAUUAGGACUCAGAAACACCUGGAUGCUGCACACCUGAUCACCGCCUGACCAGUUUCAGAACACUGACCAUCCUGUUCCAGGCACCAAUAAUAAAGACAUUCAUCAAGCCCAAGACCCCCACAGGGACUCAAAUUCCAGGGCUGCAAACCACCAGAAACCCCCUUAUACUCCCUGCCUACAUUCCCUCCCCGCCCCCCUGCCCCCCUCCGAUUUCUCUGUUCUGCUUUCCCUCUCCCUCCUUUUAAAAAACACCUACCUAUGAGAGGGAAAGAUGGGUUUUUGAGGACAAAAAAAGUCCCCCAUCUCCCCAAUUGCUGGCAAUUGAAAUAAACUUCUUCCCUUCACCUCA